Molecule: ribosomal RNA, 508 nt
Filed under: uncultured bacterium
Lineage: Bacteria
Description: bacterial SSU rRNA
Rfam family: Bacterial small subunit ribosomal RNA
Source: RNAcentral
CAAGACUUGACAUCCCGCUGACCGUUCUAGAGAUAGAGCUUCCCUUCGGGGCAGCGGUGACAGGUGGUGCAUGGUUGUCGUCAGCUCGUGUCGUGAGAUGUUGGGUUAAGUCCCGCAACGAGCGCAACCCCUAUGUUGUGUUGCUACCAUUUAGUUGAGCACUUACAACAGACUGCCGGUGACAAACCGGAGGAAGGCGGGGAUGACGUCAAAUCAUCAUGCCCCUUAUGUCUUGGGCUACACACGUGCUACAAUGGACGGUACAAAGGGUUGCGAAGCCGCGAGGUGGAGCCAAUCCCAGAAAGCCGUUCGUAGUUCGGAUUGCAGGCUGCAACUCGCCUGCAUGAAGCCGGAAUUGCUAGUAAUCGCGGAUCAGCAUGCCGCGGUGAAUUCGUUCCCGGGCCUUGUACACACCGCCCGUCACACCAUGGGAGUUGGUAACACCCGAAGUCGGUGAGGUAACUGCUUGCAGAGCCAGCCGCCUAAGGUGGGAUCGAUAACUGGGGUG